AAGCUUGCAGUAGAAGACCUCAAGCAAUUAAUUCCCUUGGCUGGGUUUCGUUCCUAUCGGUAGAAUCGCCAGCCUUCAACUCGCUCCAGUGUGGUGCUGGUCAGCAUGCAGGCUUGUUUUGAUUCACAGUUCCUGUCUCAUACAGGAGGGAUCGUGUGGCUUUCUGCGCUGCUUUGCUGUCCGACCAGGCUCCCAAGAUCUAUCCUGCAGUAAAGGGCCGAUCAUGGAGCCCCUAGAAAUUGGCGGUGGCCAACGGAACAAAAAGACUGCGGUGAACUAAU
Molecule: long non-coding RNA, 281 nt
Organism: Rhipicephalus microplus (southern cattle tick)
Lineage: Eukaryota; Metazoa; Arthropoda; Arachnida; Ixodida; Ixodidae
Source: RefSeq, a predicted model, not a curated record